CCGAGUGUAGCUCAGUUGGUAGAGCGAUUGACUGUAGUGUUUGAUACUAUGCUCAGUAUACUCGGAAAUCAAUUGGUCGCUGGUUCGAUUCCGGCCACUCGGA
RNAcentral lists this transfer RNA (103 nucleotides) under Plasmopara halstedii. It matches the Rfam family "tRNA". From Rfam's summary of the family: Transfer RNA (tRNA) molecules are approximately 80 nucleotides in length. Their secondary structure includes four short double-helical elements and three loops (D, anti-codon, and T loops). Further hydrogen bonds mediate the characteristic L-shaped molecular structure. tRNAs have two regions of fundamental functional importance: the anti-codon, which is responsible for specific mRNA codon recognition, and the 3' end, to which the tRNAs corresponding amino acid is attached (by aminoacyl-tRNA synthetases). tRNAs cope with the degeneracy of the genetic code in two manners: having more than one tRNA (with a specific anti-codon) for a particular amino acid; and 'wobble' base-pairing, i.e. permitting non-standard base-pairing at the 3rd anti-codon position. Lineage: Eukaryota; Oomycota; Peronosporomycetes; Peronosporales; Peronosporaceae. The record is from Rfam by way of RNAcentral.